GACGAACGCUGGCGGCGUGCUUAACACAUGCAAGUCGAACGGAAAGGCCCUGCUUUUGUGGGGUGCUCGAGUGGCGAACGGGUGAGUAACACGUGAGUAACCUGCCCUUGACUUUGGGAUAACUUCAGGAAACUGGGGCUAAUACCGGAUAGGAGCUCCUGCUGCAUGGUGGGGGUUGGAAAGUUUCGGCGGUUGGGGAUGGACUCGCGGCUUAUCAGCUUGUUGGUGGGGUAGUGGCUUACCAAGGCUUUGACGGGUAGCCGGCCUGAGAGGGUGACCGGCCACAUUGGGACUGAGAUACGGCCCAGACUCCUACGGGAGGCAGCAGUGGGGAAUAUUGCAAAAUGGGCGGAAGCCUGAUGCAGCAACGCCGCGUGCGGGAUGACGGCCUUCGGGUUGUAAACCGCUUUCGCCUAUGACGAAGCGUGAGUGACGGUAAUGGGUAAAGAAGCACCGGCUAACUACGUG
RNAcentral lists this ribosomal RNA (468 nucleotides) under uncultured bacterium. RNAcentral describes it as "partial 16S ribosomal RNA". It matches the Rfam family "Bacterial small subunit ribosomal RNA", at positions 28 to 507 of the family's 1533-position model. The record is from RNAcentral.